This 464-nucleotide ribosomal RNA is filed under the name uncultured bacterium. Its description in RNAcentral is "partial 16S ribosomal RNA". It matches the Rfam family "Bacterial small subunit ribosomal RNA", at positions 29 to 507 of the family's 1533-position model. The record is from RNAcentral.
ACGCACGCUGGCGGCGUGCUUAACACAUGCCAGUCGUACGGUAAGGCCCUUUCGGGGGUACACGAGUGGCGAACGGGUGAGUAACACGUGAGUAACCUGCCCACAACUUUGGGAUAACGCUAGGAAACUGGUGCUAAUACUGGAUAUGUGCUCCUGCUGCAUGGUGGGGGUUGGAAAGCUCCGGCGGUUGUGGAUGGACUCGCGGCCUAUCAGCUUGUUGGUGGGGUAGUGGCCUACCAAGGCGGCGACGGGUAGCCGGCCUGAGAGGGUGACCGGCCACAUUGGGACUGAGAUACGGCCCAGACUCCUACGGGAGGCAGCAGUGGGGAAUAUUGCACAAUGGGCGCAAGCCUGAUGCAGCAACGCCGCGUGCGGGAUGACGGCCUUCGGGUUGGAAACCGCUUUCAGCAGGGACGAAGCUUUUUGUGACGGUACCUGCAGAAGAAGCACCGGCUAACUACGUG